GAUAGAGGAGUGCUCGAAAGAGAACCGUAACACAGGUGCUGCAUGGCUGUCGUCAGCUCGUGUCGUGAGAUGUUGGGUUAAGUCCCGCAACGAGCGCAACCCUUGUCAUUAGUUGCUACAUUCAGUUGGGCACUCUAAUGAGACUGCCGGUGACAAACCGGAGGAAGUGGGGAUGACGUCAAGUCCUCAUGGCCCUUAUAGGUGGGGCUACACACGUCAUACAAUGGAUGGUACAAAGGGUCGCCAACCCGCGAGGGGGAGCCAAUCCCAUAAAGCCAUUCGUAGUCCGGAUCGCAGUCUGCAACUCGACUGCGUGAAGUCGGAAUCGCUAGUAAUCGUGGAUCAGAAUGUCACGGUGAAUACGUUCCCGGGUCUU
This 376-nucleotide ribosomal RNA is filed under the name uncultured Acidovorax sp. RNAcentral's name for it is "bacterial SSU rRNA". It matches the Rfam family "Bacterial small subunit ribosomal RNA", at positions 1003 to 1382 of the family's 1533-position model. Lineage: Bacteria; Pseudomonadati; Pseudomonadota; Betaproteobacteria; Burkholderiales; Comamonadaceae. The record is from RNAcentral.